AGAAGCUCCUGCUCAGUAACUACAGACGCGAAGCUCAGCCUCUCGGUUUGGGAAUUUUCUUGGAGGCCGAGGCCCUGCGCCUCUGUCUGCACCCAAGGCGACCGCCCAGCUUACCCCCGGCUCUUCUGAGCACAGGGAGGCCUCCCAGCAAAGCCUGAACCCUCUAAGUUUAGCUGCAGGCUUCGAACCCCGACCGUCCCCGCCGAGCCUUGGGCUGCUGAGGUGGGGAUGAACUGGGCGAAAGACACUUGGGAGUUAGGAAGAAACAAACAAGCAGGGAAGUGACCAGGAGACAAGGUGAGACUUUGCCCGGCUCAGGUCUGAACUGAGUGUUGGAGAUAACCACAGUUAACAAAAUAAACAAAAUUAUUCGCCCCCGUGGAGCUGUUAGCAACCCUGGUGCCUGGGAAGCCUGGAAGAGGCUCGGGUUAGUAACAACCUCCAGGAUGCCCUCCGAACUGGUACUGGCGCCGGGACUCUAGACAAGGUCCAGAUUCCCGGGCCCUUCCCCUUACGGGUGCAAAAAGGGAGGGUCAGGACCUGCCAGUCCUGGCUUCAGGAUGUUGACUGGACGGACCUGGACUCAUGGGAACUGUGCGCCAAAGUCCUGGGAGCAAAGUGUCAUAACGCUCCUCGUUUGUCUCUUGCCUUCACAGGAGACAGCCCUGCUGCAAGCGGCCAGUGGGAAUCCUUGGCCUUUGGGGGUAUGAUCCAAGAAUGUAAACGCUAGCUUUUCAGUGUUUUCGAUUUCGUGAUAUUCAAUGCAUACAAUACAAUGUGACUCUUGAAGCUUAAUAAUAAAAUUAUCAUUCUUGAGCCCAGCACCUAAAUUUUAAAAUGUGAGCAAUACCAAUAGGGUAACAGAAUAAGCAAUCCAUUCUGUUUUGACUAUAGUGAACAAGAUUACAAGACUUAUCUGCAGUUAGGUCUGUCUCUCGGAUGUUUGCCUGGUCUUUUUGCUGUUCAAAUAACAGUUUAAAAUUUGGCAGUCCCCACAAGCAGCUGGUCUUGCUCAUGGAGUUCUCACAACUUUUGUUUGUAUGAGAAAUCACAUUUCAUGAGAUAAAUCUGGGAAUUUAGGUUGUUAGGCAGUGACUCCAGUCACUGACCUACGGAAGUCAGAACAAAGUUGGCUGAUUUUAAAACCCUGCAUCCAUUCACCAUUACCAUUCCCGCUGUUGGUAAAAAAGGAAUCUGAUAAAGGAAAAGAUACUGGCUUCCCGGAACAGAAAGGAAACCUAACAAGAUGGACUGCAGGGAAAAUGCUUUUCAGAAGAUGCCAUGGGAUUUCAGUGACCCCGAGUAAUUAGGAGCACAUAAUUGGGAAGAUGAAGGCUUAUUUAAAUGCAGUUAUCUCUGAUAUGGCCAAUUGGCUUGAAGAAAAAAAAAACUCCUUUAUUUCCAAAAUAACAGACGUUCCAGCAGUUCAG
Molecule: long non-coding RNA, 1430 nt
Filed under: Homo sapiens (human)
Lineage: Eukaryota; Metazoa; Chordata; Mammalia; Primates; Hominidae
Description: non-protein coding lnc-ALG14-1:5
Source: RNAcentral